CACGUAGUUAGCCGGGGCUUCUUAGUCAGGUACCGUCAUUUUCUUCCCUGCUGAUAGAAGUUUACAUACCGAGAUACUUCUUCCUUCACGCGGCGUCGCUGCAUCAGGGUUUCCCCCAUUGUGCAAUAUUCCCCACUGCUGCCUCCCGUAGGAGUCUGGGCCGUGUCUCAGUCCCAAUGUGGCCGUUCACCCUCUCAGGCCGGCUACUGAUCGUCGGCUUGGUAGGCCGUUACCCCACCAACUACCUAAUCAGACGCGGGUCCAUCUCAUACCACCUCAGUUUUUCACACCAGACCAUGCGAUCCUGUGCGCUUAUGCGGCAUUAGCAGCCAUUUCUAACUGUUAUUCCCCUGUAUGAGGCAGGUUACCCACGCGUUACUCACCCGUCCGCCGCUCAGUCAAAUAUCAAAUCUUCCGAAGAGUCAAUGAUAAGUGCUUCGCUCGACUUGCAUGUGUUAAGCACGCCGCCAGCGUUCAUCCUGAGCCAGGA
This 490-nucleotide ribosomal RNA is filed under the name uncultured Blautia sp. RNAcentral describes it as "partial 16S ribosomal RNA". The record is from RNAcentral. Lineage: Bacteria; Bacillati; Bacillota; Clostridia; Lachnospirales; Lachnospiraceae.